UUCCGGUUGAUCCUGCCGGAGGUCACUGCUAUUGGGAUUCGACUAAGCCAUGCGAGUCGAGAGGGUUCGGCCCUCGGCUGACGGCUCAGUAACACGUGGAUAAUCUGCCCUUAGGUGGAGGAUAAUCUCGGGAAACUGAGGAUAAUACUCCAUAGAUCUAGGAUGCUGGAAUGCAUUUAGAUUGAAAGCUCCGGCGCCUAAGGAUGAGUCUGCGGACUAUCAGGUUGUAGUCAGGAUAAAGACCUGACUAGCCUAUGACGGAUACGGGUUGUGAGAGCAAUAACCCGGAGACGAUAUCUGAGACACGAUAUCGGGCCCUACGGGGCGCAGCAGGCGCGAAAACUUCACACUGUGCGAAAGCGCGAUGAGGGAAUCCCAAGUGCUUACUCGUAAGAGUAAGCUGUUUCUUUGUCUAAAAAGCAGAGAGAGUAAGGGCUGGGUAAGACGGGUGCCAGCCGCCGCGGUAAUACCUGCAGCUCAAGUGGUGACCGCUAUUAUUGGGCCUAAAACAUUCGUAGCCGGUUUGGUAAAUGCCUGGGUAAAUCGUGUAGCUUAACUAUACGAAUUCCGGGUAGACUGCCAAACUUGAGACCGGGAGAAGCUAGAGGUACUCCUUGGGUAGAGGUGAAAUUCUGUAAUCCUAGGGGGACCACCAGUGGCGAAGGCGUCUAGCUAGAACGGGUUUGACGGUGAGGAAUGAAGCCCUGGGGCGCAAACCGGAUUAGAUACCCGGGUAGUCCAGGGUGUAAACGCUGCUUGCUUGAUGUUAGUUGGGCUCCGAGCCCAAUUAGUGUCGGAGAGAAGUUGUUAAGCAAGCUGCCUGGGAAGUACGAUCGCAAGAUUAAAACUUAAAGGAAUUGGCGGGGGAGCACAGCAACGGGUGGAGCGUGCGGUUUAAUUGGAUUCAACGCCGGG
This 915-nucleotide ribosomal RNA is filed under the name uncultured archaeon. RNAcentral's name for it is "bacterial SSU rRNA". It matches the Rfam family "Archaeal small subunit ribosomal RNA", at positions 1 to 922 of the family's 1478-position model. The record is from RNAcentral.